UAUGCCACAAGAACUCAGUUUUAAGUGCGGCGUCAGCGGCUUAUCUCAUGUUUAUAUAAAAGUGCGAUGUUAAGACUGCUUAGUUGUAAUUAAGAAAUUAUGCAGUAAGUGCAGUGAUAAGUUUGUUAUACUGAUUUUACAAUACCACGAUAAGAAAAAUGAAUUUCGCAAUUUUAUGUGUAUUUUUAAUGACUGUAGUUUUUGGAAAACCGCAGUACGGAAACUAUCCUGAAAGGUAUGACAGUUAUAAUCUGCAGUUGUAUUAUCCAAAAAUAGCACCGGGCAUAUCAUGCUGUAAUGUGCCUCAGUGUUCCGAAGAUGGUUGUUACGAUACAAAAGUAUGCGGCUACUUGUGUCAAAAUUACAGGGAAGACUACGGUCCGACACCAGGUUAUAAAAUAAAAAAAUCAUACAAGAGCCAAUCGUGCCAUUUCGGCGAAUGCAAUAUGUUUGAUUUUGAUUGUUCGAACUGUCCCGAUCCAACUGUUCCUGAGUUCAGAAUAUACAGGGUGCGAAAGUCUUGUGCCUAUUGUUAUGAACGUUAAUUAGUUGAUAAAAUGUGUAUUUAUUUAUUUGUAUAUUUAGUUUUUUAAUAAAAUAUAUUUGAUACGUAUUGUUUUUGAUUUAGACGAUUUAAUAAAAGUAAAGAAAAAAUUUAAUAAUAUUUAUUAUACUAAUACCUUGUCUUUAUAAUAUUUAAAACCAAUUACUUCCAAUAUAAAUAUUUAAAGUAACUACUUGAGUCAUUUGCGCACAUUUUUAUAAACAAAGAUAUAUCUGUGGUAUUCUAAAUAACUAGAAUUUAUCAUUAGCAAUUUGAAGAUGACCUUAAGCACACAUCUCCCGUGUUUGGUUAACAAAUAAUUGGAAUAAGUUUUGUAAUUUGUGUGUUGUGAAAGUUUUUUCAAAACAUGGAUAUAUCGCUGAAAGAGGCAGUUUUUUUAAUUUUCAUAUACACCUCAAUCAGUGAUGGUUUAGUAACGUACGAUAAGAAGUUCGAACAGCUUUACAAUAACAAUUAUUUUCAACAAUUAAAUCAAGAAAUGCGAUUGCAAGAGUCUUCACCAAAAACUGUAUACGCCGCCAAAUUCCCGUACGUAAAAGAUGGAGUGAAACAAGAUUAUGGGCCAACUUUGGGUUGGUCUAGGAAAAGGUCGUACAAUUAUCAAAUAUGUGAUGACAAGAAGAAUUGUAGAAUAAGGACCAUGAAUUGCUUGCAGUGCCCAGAUUCGUUUAACCCCGAGUUUAGGCUUUAUAAUGUUAAACGUAAAUGCAUAAAAUGUUAUCAACAAACAUUUUUAAGUUAAAUAACUCUACUCUCUGAAUUCAGAUAUGUUCAAUUUUGUGUUUAGGAGUUAUAAUAUUAAACGAAAUUGUAUUAAACGCCAUUAACAAACGUAUUUAAAUUAUAUAUUUGUGUGAUAUUAUGUUUCUAUGCUUAAAUAAUAAAUGUUAUAAAGAAA
Long non-coding RNA from Aethina tumida (small hive beetle), 1463 nucleotides. RefSeq lists it as uncharacterized. The transcript has 3 exons. Lineage: Eukaryota; Metazoa; Arthropoda; Insecta; Coleoptera; Nitidulidae. The record is from RefSeq and is a predicted model, not a curated record.